Gossypium hirsutum (cotton) is the source of this 143-nucleotide non-coding RNA. Lineage: Eukaryota; Viridiplantae; Streptophyta; Magnoliopsida; Malvales; Malvaceae. The record is from Rfam.
UGUUAAAAAUUUCAUCAAUUUGUACUGUUAAAAACUGACACGCUUGAUAGAAUAACCCAACAAUAUACAUGAUGUGCUAUGUAUACUUUAUGCUGGCGUACAUAGACCAAGUUUUAACAAUAGAAAUGGAUAAAAAUUUACCU